AUUGAACGCUGGCGGCAUGCCUUACACAUGCAAGUCGAACGGCAGCACGGGAGCAAUCCUGGUGGCGAGUGGCGAACGGGUGAGUAAUAUAUCGGAACGUGCCCAGUCGUGGGGGAUAACGCAGCGAAAGCUGUGCUAAUACCGCAUACGAUCUACGGAUGAAAGCGGGGGAUCGCAAGCCCUCGCGCGAUUGGAGCGGCCGAUAUCAGAUUAGCUAGUUGGUGGGGUAAAGGCCCACCAAGGCGACGAUCUGUAGCUGGCCUGAGAGGACGACCAGCAACACUGGAACUGAGACACGGUCCAGACUCCUACGGGAGGAAGCAGUGGGGAAUUUUGGACAAUGGGCGCAAGCCUGAUCCAGCAAUGCCGCGUGCAGGAUGAAGGCCUUCGGGUUGUAAACUGCUUUUGUACGGAACGAAACGACCCUUUCUAAUACAGGGGGCUAAUGACGGUACCGUAAGAAUAAGCACCGGCUAACUACGUGCCAGCCGCCGCGGUAA
RNAcentral lists this ribosomal RNA (500 nucleotides) under uncultured bacterium. RNAcentral describes it as "partial 16S ribosomal RNA". It matches the Rfam family "Bacterial small subunit ribosomal RNA", at positions 30 to 523 of the family's 1533-position model. The record is from RNAcentral.